RNAcentral lists this ribosomal RNA (627 nucleotides) under uncultured fungus. RNAcentral describes it as "eukaryotic LSU rRNA". It matches the Rfam family "Eukaryotic large subunit ribosomal RNA", at positions 23 to 673 of the family's 3401-position model. The record is from RNAcentral. Lineage: Eukaryota; Fungi.
ACCCGCUGAACUUAAGCAUAUCAAUAAGCGGAGGAAAAGAAACCAACAGGGAUUGCCUCAGUAACGGCGAGUGAAGCGGCAACAGCUCAAAUUUGAAAUCUGGCUCCUUCGGGGCCCGAGUUGUAAUUUGCAGAGGAUGCGUCGGGUACGGGUGCCUUCCGAGUUCCCUGGAACGGGACGCCAUAGAGGGUGAGAGCCCCGUCUGGUAGGACACCCAGCCCGUGUGACGCUCCCUCGACGAGUCGAGUAGUUUGGGAAUGCUGCUCUAACGGGAGGUAUACUCCUUCCAAGGCUAAAUACCGGCCAGAGACCGAUAGCGCACAAGUAGAGUGAUCGAAAGAUGAAAAGCACUUUGAAAAGAGGGUUAAAUAGUACGUGAAAUUGCUGAAAGGGAAGCGCUUAUGACCAGACUUGGGCUCGGUGAAUCAUCCGGCGUUCUCGCCGGUGCACUUUGCCGUCCCAGGCCAGCAUCAGUUCGCGCCGGGGGAUAAAGGUUUCGGGAAUGUAGCUCCCUCGGGAGUGUUAUAGCCCGUUGCGUAAUACCCUGGCGUGGACUGAGGUCCGCGCUCUGCAAGGAUGCUGGCGUAAUGGUCAUCAGUGACCCGUCUUGAAACACGGACCAAGGAG